Molecule: long non-coding RNA, 664 nt
Organism: Paramisgurnus dabryanus
Lineage: Eukaryota; Metazoa; Chordata; Actinopteri; Cypriniformes; Cobitidae
Source: RefSeq, a predicted model, not a curated record
UGGUCACACCUGUCACAUUCACUAUUCUGCUGAAGUCCAUAUCUGCAUCUGACCUGAUCGCCAUCUGGGUCAAAGGCCAUCAAGUGGUGUGAAGGUCAGUGAGCCUCCAUAAUAAUGUCCUGCUGAAGCGAUGGACACCAGAAGCAGAAGAUUCAAUACCACCGCUGAAGACAUCAUGCUAUCUGAGUCUUGAUCUGAGUCUACCUGUAAAGUGCACCUGUGCACCUGCUUAUAUACAUCACAGCUUCAUAUCAGACUCAGGAGAACAACAUGCAACGAGUCCGAGCGCAUCUCUUUGGGGAAACAAUUUGAGAGGCGGAUUUUAACGGGAGGUGGAUCUGCCUACACAUGACCUGACGCCAGCAGAGGACAUCACUGCGUCCACCCUCACCGCUGAAAGGGUUUGGGGGCUUUGAAAUCGGACCCAAGAAACGCAAGCAAGGUCCAACCCCAAAGUACUCUUACAAAUCAAGUUCAUAUACAUUAAGGUUUCUUAUGAAAACAUUUUAAUUAUUAUUUACAUAAAAUAAACGUAAUACAGCCACACAACAAACUUAUUAUUAUUAACUUAUGAAAAUAUUUUAAUCGUUAUUUGCAUGAGAAUUUUUUAACGCAGCCACACAAUAAAUAAAAACUAUCACCACAAUGCUCACCACUAUGAUUC